This 236-nucleotide ribosomal RNA is filed under the name uncultured bacterium. RNAcentral's name for it is "partial 16S ribosomal RNA". It matches the Rfam family "Bacterial small subunit ribosomal RNA", at positions 99 to 334 of the family's 1533-position model. The record is from RNAcentral.
CAAACGGGUGAGUAGUACUUUGGUAAUCCAAUCUCGACUCGAGUAUAACCCAGAGAAAUUUGGGACAAUCCUCGAUAGUCAUGGGGGGUCAUAUGACAUUCCCAUGUAAAGAUUUUUCGGUCGGGGAGGAGCCUAAGGCCUAUCAGCUUGUUGGUAGGGUAAAAGCCUACCAAGGCUAUGACGGGUAGCUGGUCUGAGAGGAUGAUCAGCCGCAUCGGGACUGAGACACGGCCCGG